GACGAACGCUGGCGGCGUGCCUAAUACAUGCAAGUAGAACGCACAGUUUAUACCGUAGCUUGCUCCACCAUAGACUGUGAGUUGCGAACGGGUGAGUAACGCGUAGGUAACCUGCCUGGUAGCGGGGGAUAACUAUUGGAAACGAUAGCUAAUACCGCAUAAUAUUAAUUAUUGCAUGAUAAUUAAUUGAAAGGUGCAAUUGCACCACUACCAGAUGGAUAUGCGUUGUAUUAGCUAGUAGGUGAGGUAACGGCUCACCUAGGCGACGAUACAUAGCCGACCUGAGAGGGUAGUCGGCCACACUGGGACUGAGACACGGCCCAGACGCCUACGGGAGGCAGCAGUAGGGAAUCAUCGGCAAUGGACGAAAGUCUGACCGAGCAACGCCGCGUGAGUGAAGAAGGUUUUCGGAUCGUAAAGCUCUGUUGUAAGAGAAGAACGGGUGUGAGAGUGGAAAGUUCACACUGUGACGGUAUCUUACCAGAAAGGGACGGCUAACUACGUG
RNAcentral lists this ribosomal RNA (505 nucleotides) under uncultured bacterium. Its description in RNAcentral is "partial 16S ribosomal RNA". It matches the Rfam family "Bacterial small subunit ribosomal RNA", at positions 28 to 507 of the family's 1533-position model. The record is from RNAcentral.